Molecule: ribosomal RNA, 468 nt
Filed under: uncultured bacterium
Lineage: Bacteria
Description: partial 16S ribosomal RNA
Rfam family: Bacterial small subunit ribosomal RNA
Source: RNAcentral
GACGAACGCUGGCGGCGUGCUUAACACAUGCAAGUCGAACGGAAAGGCCCUGCUAUUGUGGGGUGCUCGAGUGGCGAACGGGUGAGUAACACGUGAGUAACCUGCCCUUGACUAUGGGAUAACUUCAGGAAACUGGGGCGAAUACCGGAUAGGAGCUCCUGCUGCAUGGUGGGGGGUGGAAAGAUGCGGCGGUCGGGGAUGGACUCGCGGCUUAUCAGCUUGUCUGUGGGGUAGUGGCUUACCAAGGCUUUGACGGGUAGCCGGCCUGAGAGGGUGACCGGCCACAUUGGGACUGAGAUACGGCACGGACACCAACGGGAGGCAGAAGUGGCAAAUACUCAACAAUGGGCGGCAGCCUGAUGCAGCAACGCCGCGUGCGGGAUGACGGCCUUCGGGUUGUAACCCGCUCUCGCCUGUGACGAAGCGUGGGUGCCGGUCAUGGGUAAAGAGGCACGGGCUAACUACGUG